UCUUCUUUGCUAUAGAGGAGUUCAUCGAUUUCAGAAUGAAGCUUUGUGAGUCUCCUGGAUUUUUCUGUUGGGGGGAAGUAGAUAUCCAUGUCGGCUCCAGGUGAUACGAUGUUGAACUUGGGAUCAAACACAUUGAUUCCUUGAACAACUCUGUACAACCCUGGCAUUGUGAACCCAAUAUGUGUCUCGUACUGUCCGACACUAUCAUUGCUUCCAGCAAUUUCUUGGAAAGUGCUUGUGAUGAUGAAAUCAGUUUUGUUCAUGGCGUAUACGUCGGCGGUGAAUUGACUUGAGAAGUGGUAAUGAUCAUCUUUUUGUUUCCAGUACAAAUCUGAAUUGGGGUACUUGGUUUUCUCCAGUGCAUGAGCGAUCGUACAUUGAGUAACAUUCAUUUUAUCGGCCAUGAUCGACGCAACCAAAUUUCCAUCACUGUAGUUUCCGAUGAUCAAAUCUGGGGUCGCACCAAGCUCCUCAGUAACUUCUUUGAUGCAAUCAUUUGCAUAUGUCUCAAGGUAAGGCCACACAUCAAAUCUCGAUAUCCAUUUGCGAAGAACUACUCCUUCUUUGGUUCGGAAUGGGAUACGGAUAAUAUUUGUAUGUUUCGUUUCUUCAACUGGUUCCAUUCUUUCUCCACAGGUUGUUCCAACUGCAUCAGGUAACAUUCGGGUGACGAUAAGAAUCUUAGGGAUGAUAUCUAAUCCUUGCUCUUUAAUCCUCAGAAGCAUCUCCUUUUCC
This 735-nucleotide long non-coding RNA is filed under the name Zostera marina. Its description in RNAcentral is "long non-coding RNA (ZMAR_LNC004054)". The record is from RNAcentral. Lineage: Eukaryota; Viridiplantae; Streptophyta; Magnoliopsida; Alismatales; Zosteraceae.